CCCAGCUGAUAAGUGAAGGAUCCACGCUGUGAGGCUGUACAAGAACUGCUUCCUGCUUGCACAGGGUAAAGAUCUCUUUGCAGCUAAGAUAAUACAAGGACUAAUAGCUCAUUUUAUACUGAGAAAGAAUCUUUUUUCUGUCAUUUAGUUUUGUAGCUUGUUGGUAUUUGUUAUAGCUUU
Molecule: long non-coding RNA, 180 nt
Organism: Gavialis gangeticus (Gharial)
Lineage: Eukaryota; Metazoa; Chordata; Crocodylia; Gavialidae
Exons: 3
Source: RefSeq, a predicted model, not a curated record